GUUUGAUCAUGGCUCAGAUUGAACGCUGGCGGCAGGCCUAACACAUGCGAGUCGAGCGGUAGAGAGAAGCUUGCUUCUCUUGAGAGCGGCGGACGGGUGAGUAAUGCCUAGGAAUCUGCCUGGUAGUGGGGGAUAACGUUCGGAAACGGACGCUAAUACCGCAUACGUCCUACGGGAGAAAGCAGGGGACCUUCGGGCCUUGCGCUAUCAGAUGAGCCUAGGUCGGAUUAGCUAGUUGGUGAGGCAAUGGCUCACCAAGGCGACGAUCCGUAACUGGUCUGAGAGGAUGAUCAGUCACACUGGAACUGAGACACGGUCCAGACUCCUACGGGAGGCAGCAGUGGGGAAUAUUGGACAAUGGGCGAAAGCCUGAUCCAGCCAUGCCGCGUGUGUGAAGAAGGUCUUCGGAUUGUAAAGCACUUUAAGUUGGGAGGAAGGGCAGUUACCUAAUACGUGAUUGUUUUGACGUUACCGACAGAAUAAGCACCGGCUAACUCUGUGCCAGCAGCCGCGGUAAUACAGAGGGUGCAAGCGUUAAUCGGAAUUACUGGGCGUAAAGCGCGCGUAGGUGGUUUGUUAAGUUGGAUGUGAAAUCCCCGGGCUCAACCUGGGAACUGCAUUCAAAACUGACUGACUAGAGUGUGGUAGAGGGUGGUGGAAUUUCCUGUGUAGCGGUGAAAUGCGUAGAUAUAGGAAGGAACACCAGUGGCGAAGGCGACCACCUGGACCAACACUGACACUGAGGUGCGAAAAGCGUGGGGAGCAAAACAGGAUUAGAUACCCUGGUAGUCCACGCCGUAAACGAUGUCAACUAACCGUUGGGAGCCUUGAGCUCUUAGUGGCGCAGCUAACGCAUUAAGUUGACCGCCUGGGGAGUACGGCCGCAAGGUUAAAACUUCAAUGGAUUUGACGGGGCCCCGCCACAAGCGGUGGAGCAUG
Molecule: ribosomal RNA, 939 nt
Filed under: Pseudomonas sp. enrichment culture clone Lpl4-104
Lineage: Bacteria; Pseudomonadati; Pseudomonadota; Gammaproteobacteria; Pseudomonadales; Pseudomonadaceae
Description: bacterial SSU rRNA
Rfam family: Bacterial small subunit ribosomal RNA
Source: RNAcentral